ACUAACUAUAGGUACGAACAUUUGUUUCACCGUCAAUCAAUUUCCUGUUGAACAUAGUUUUAGUCAAAUGAGUCGUUUACCGUAUGCCACAGUAUACACGUUAAGAGGUAAUAACAAUGUCGUUAGUUGUAAUUUGAUUAAACUGUAUUAUUAUUUUUUUUUUUGUUGGGUCUGUUUCCAACAUAGUUGCAUUAAGUACUUGAAUUUACACGUAUAUUAAUAUUAUUAGUCGUCC
This is a non-coding RNA of Cinara cedri, 235 nucleotides long. NCBI's taxonomy places the organism in Eukaryota, Metazoa, Arthropoda, Insecta, Hemiptera, Aphididae. The record is from the annotation of a GenBank genome assembly.